GAUGAACGCUGGCGGCGUGCCUAAUACAUGCAAGUCGAGCGAACAGACGAGGAGCUUGCUCCUCUGACGUUAGCGGCGGACGGGUGAGUAACACGUGGAUAACCUACCUAUAAGACUUGGAUAACUUCGGGAAACCGGAGCUAAUACCGGAUAAUAUAUUGAACCGCAUGGUUCAAUAGUGAAAGACGGUUUUGCUGUCACUUAUAGAUGGAUCCGCGCCGCAUUAGCUAGUUGGUAAGGUAACGGCUUACCAAGGCAACGAUGCGUAGCCGACCUGAGAGGGUGAUCGGCCACACUGGAAGUGAGACACGGUCCAGACUCCUACGGGAGGCAGCAGUAGGGAAUCUUCCGAAAUGGGCGAAAGCCUGACGGAGCAACGCCGCGUGAGUGAUGAAGGUCUUCGGAUCGUAAAACUCUGUUAUUAGGGAAGAACAAAUGUGUAAGUAACUAUGCACGUCUUGACGGUACCUAAUCAGAAAGCCACGGCUAACUACGUG
Molecule: ribosomal RNA, 497 nt
Filed under: uncultured bacterium
Lineage: Bacteria
Description: partial 16S ribosomal RNA
Rfam family: Bacterial small subunit ribosomal RNA
Source: RNAcentral